UGGGGAAUUUUGGACAAUGGGCGCAAGCCUGAUCCAGCCAUGCCGCGUGCGGGAAGAAGGCCUUCGGGUUGUAAACCGCUUUUGUCGGGGAAGAAAUCUCUCGGGCUAAUACCUCGGGGGGAUGACGGUACCCGAAGAAUAAGCACCGGCUAACUACGUGCCAGCAGCCGCGGUAAUACGUAGGGUGCGAGUGUUAAUCGGAAUUACUGGGCGUAAAGCGUGCGCAGGCGGUCGUGCAAGACAGAUGUGAAAUCCCCGGGCUCAACCUGGGAACUGCAUUUGUGACUGCACGGCUGGAGUACGGCAGAGGGGGAUGGAAUUCCGCGUGUAGCAGUGAAAUGCGUAGAUAUGCGGAGGAACACCGAUGGCGAAGGCAGUCCCCUGGGCCUGCACUGACGCUCAUGCACGAAAGCGUGGGGAGCAAACA
Molecule: ribosomal RNA, 427 nt
Filed under: uncultured bacterium
Lineage: Bacteria
Description: bacterial SSU rRNA
Rfam family: Bacterial small subunit ribosomal RNA
Source: RNAcentral